RNAcentral lists this long non-coding RNA (979 nucleotides) under Gossypium raimondii (Peruvian cotton). Its description in RNAcentral is "long non-coding RNA (GRAI_LNC010956)". Lineage: Eukaryota; Viridiplantae; Streptophyta; Magnoliopsida; Malvales; Malvaceae. The record is from RNAcentral.
ACAAAAGGCAAAAUUGCAAAAUUCACCCUCAAAGUCUCGAGGUCUUUUCACUUCAGCUCUUAAAGUUGAUGACAUUAUUGAAAAUUUUAAAAUUAAAUAUAAAUAAUAGAUUCAGGAAAAUUUUAAACUAAAGAUUAAAAAAAUGAAAAAAUAUAAAAAAUAAAAAUUAAAAAUUAUUAAAAAAUUUACGUCUCUCGAUAUCUCUUAUUUUUUAUUAAAAAAGUUCUCUUUUUCUCAUCCCUCUUUCUGUCGUUUUUUCUUCCUUCCUUCUCAAAACAAACCCUAGCCGCCGAUGCUGCGCCGCUCACCACUGCUGAACUCUGCUCCUCUCUAUCACCUUCUAACACCAUCGCCACACUAUGGCCACACCCAACCAGCCCAACGUUUCUACUAAUGCUAAGUCAGUAUGCUUAGAAUACAUGAAUGAAAGGUCUGGUUUGUUUUUAGUUUUCUACCCUCCGCUUAAGAGAAAGUGGCCAAAGGUGGCGAGUAAGAGAUGGGGUUGGAGGCCAGGGUUCAGGAAGUAUACAGUUUGGAGAUUAUCCCAAACAUUGACGGGGAUGGCCUCGUUUAUCCACCGUAGCGCCGAGAUUCCAGGGAAGUUCUCGCUCCUUUGAACCCCGGUGUGCACGUACAACGCCAAAAACGUCUUCUUUCCUAGCCUUGGAAAUAUAUGCUCUUCCAAAUACUUCUUCACAAUGUCAACGCUCAAUAACUGAGCUGAUCCACCCACGCCCCCCACGUCAAAAUACCAUCCACAACUCAAAGAUUCUUUAAACAAAAUGAUAACACUAAUAAGUCAACAAAAAAAGGGGUGGGGGCAUGGGGAUCAUUAAUUACUAGGGAAGAAUUAUCCGGUAAUACGAAGAAUCUUGUGGCCUUGUUUAUAUUUGAUGCGGAUCUUGAAAAUGUCGAGUUUGUGGAAGAGGAAUUCUCGAUUAGACUAGAAAACCUGGGAUGACAGGAUUGUUGGGGUUUG